UAAAGACACAUACCUGUGCAUCAGAAAAAAAAAAUCAAUGAAAAGGUCCAGUUAUGUGCUUAA
Molecule: small RNA, 63 nt
Filed under: Salix viminalis (osier)
Lineage: Eukaryota; Viridiplantae; Streptophyta; Magnoliopsida; Malpighiales; Salicaceae
Source: RNAcentral